UCAGGCCUAACACAUGCAAGUCGAACGGCAGCGCGGGCUUCGGCCUGGCGGCGAGUGGCGAACGGGUGAGUAAUGCAUCGGAACGUGCCCAAGAGUGGGGGAUAACUAGUCGAAAGAUUAGCUAAUACCGCAUACGAUCUAAGGAUGAAAGUGGGGGACCGCAAGGCCUCAUGCUCCUGGAGCGGCCGAUGUCUGAUUAGCUAGUUGGUGGGGUAAAAGCCUACCAAGGCGACGAUCAGUAGCUGGUCUGAGAGGACGACCAGCCACACUGGGAUUGAGACACGGCCCAGACUCCUACGGGAGGCAGCAGUGGGGAAUUUUGGACAAUGGGGGAAACCCUGAUCCAUCAAAGGCGCGUGUGUGAAGAAGGCCUUCGGGUUGAAAUUAAAGGGUCAGGAACGAAACGGUGAGGGCUAAUAUC
RNAcentral lists this ribosomal RNA (421 nucleotides) under uncultured bacterium. Its description in RNAcentral is "bacterial SSU rRNA". It matches the Rfam family "Bacterial small subunit ribosomal RNA", at positions 42 to 465 of the family's 1533-position model. The record is from RNAcentral.